GGUGCUGUGGCGCAGUCGGUUAAAGCACUGGCCUGAAAUGCCAGCAUCCCAUAUGGGCACUGGUUCUAGUCCCGGCUGCUCCA
This 83-nucleotide transfer RNA is filed under the name Oryctolagus cuniculus (rabbit). It matches the Rfam family "tRNA". From Rfam's summary of the family: Transfer RNA (tRNA) molecules are approximately 80 nucleotides in length. Their secondary structure includes four short double-helical elements and three loops (D, anti-codon, and T loops). Lineage: Eukaryota; Metazoa; Chordata; Mammalia; Lagomorpha; Leporidae. The record is from Rfam by way of RNAcentral.